GGGCCCGCACAAGCGGUGGAGUAUGUGGUUUAAUUCGAUGCAACGCGAAGAACCUUACCAGGGUUUGACAUCCUGCGAAUCUCUUGGAAACAGGAGAGUGCCUUCGGGAACGCAGUGACAGGUGCUGCAUGGUUGUCGUCAGCUCGUGCCGUGAGGUGUCAGGUUAAGUCCUAUAACGAGCGCAACCCCUGUGGUUAGUUGCCAGCGAGUGAAGUCGGGAACUCUAGCAAGACUGCCGGUGCAAACCGUGAGGAAGGUGGGGAUGACGUCAAAUCAUCACGGCCCUUACGUCCUGGGCUACGACACGUGCUACAAUGGUAGGGACAGAGAGCAGCCAUUUCGCGAGAAAGAGCGAAUCUAUAAACCCUAUCUCAGUUCGGAUCGAAGUCUGCAACUCGACUUCGUGAAGCUGGAAUCGCUAGUAAUCG
This 428-nucleotide ribosomal RNA is filed under the name uncultured bacterium. Its description in RNAcentral is "bacterial SSU rRNA". It matches the Rfam family "Bacterial small subunit ribosomal RNA", at positions 917 to 1344 of the family's 1533-position model. The record is from RNAcentral.